Molecule: ribosomal RNA, 253 nt
Filed under: uncultured bacterium
Lineage: Bacteria
Description: partial 16S ribosomal RNA
Rfam family: Bacterial small subunit ribosomal RNA
Source: RNAcentral
UACGGAGGUGGCAAGCGUUGCUCGGAAUCACUGGGCGUAAAGGGCGCGUAGGCGGGGAGGUAAGUCGGGUGUGAAAUCCCUCGGCCCAACUGAGGAACUGCGCCCGAGACUGCUUCUCUUGAGUCCCGGAGAGGAAGAUGGAAUUCCCGGUGUAGCGGUGAAAUGUGUAGAGAUCGGGAGGAACACCAGAGGCGAAAGCGGCGACCUGGACAGAUACUGACACUCAACUGCGAAAGCGUGGGGAGCAAACAGG